UACGUAGGUGGCAAGCGUUAUCCGGAAUUACUGGGCGUAAAGCGCACGCAGGUGGCUAUCUAAGAUUGACGUGAAAGCUUCUGGCUUAACUGGAAGAGGUCGUUGAUGACUGGAUGGCUUGAGACGAGGAGAGGGGUGCAGAAUUCCCGGUGUAGUGGUGGAAUGCGUAGAGAUCGGGUGGAAUACCAGUGGCGAAAGCGGCACCCUGGCCUUAGGCUGACGCUCAGGUGCGAAAGAGUGGGGAGCAAACGGG
This 253-nucleotide ribosomal RNA is filed under the name uncultured bacterium. Its description in RNAcentral is "partial 16S ribosomal RNA". It matches the Rfam family "Bacterial small subunit ribosomal RNA", at positions 524 to 776 of the family's 1533-position model. The record is from RNAcentral.